Acanthisitta chloris (rifleman) is the source of this 1890-nucleotide RNA transcript. It is a transcript of the gene named myosin heavy chain, skeletal muscle, adult-like, with no coding region annotated. The transcript has 10 exons. Lineage: Eukaryota; Metazoa; Chordata; Aves; Passeriformes; Acanthisittidae. The record is from RefSeq and is a predicted model, not a curated record.
AGCAAAAUCGAGGAUGAACAAGCUGUGGGUCUGCAAUUUCAGAAGAAGAUCAAGGAGCUGCAGGCUCGUAUUGAGGAACUGGAGGAGGAAAUUGAGGCCGAGAGAACCUCUCGCGCUAAAGCAGAGAAGCAUCGGGCUGACCUGUCCAGGGAGCUCGAGGAGAUCAGCGAGCGCCUGGAAGAAGCAGGAGGGGCCACGACAGCUCAGAUUGAAAUGAACAAGAAGCGUGAGGCAGAGUUCCAGAAGAUGCGCCGUGACCUCGAAGAGGCCACGCUGCAGCACAAGGCCACGGCUGCCGCCCUGCGCAAGAAGCACGCGGACAGCACCGCUGAGCUCGGGGAGCAGAUCGACAACCUGCAACGCGUCAAGCAGAAACUGGAGAAAGAGAAGAGUGAGAUGAAGAUGGAGAUUGAUGACCUGGCCAGUAACAUGGAGUCUGUCUCCAAAGCCAAGGCAAACCUGGAGAAGAUGUGCCGCACACUGGAAGAUCAGCUGAGUGAGCUCAAGACAAAGGAAGAAGAGCAUCAGCGCAUGAUCAAUGACCUCAAUACUCAGAGAGCUCGUCUGCAGACAGAGUCAGGUGAAUAUUCACGCCAGGUGGAGGAGAAGGAUGCUUUGGUUUCUCAGCUGUCACGAGGCAAACAGGCUUUCACCCAACAGAUUGAGGAACUCAAGAGGCACUUAGAGGAAGAGAUAAAGGCCAAGAAUGCCCUGGCCCACGCCUUGCAGUCUGCUCGCCACGACUGCGACCUGCUCCGGGAGCAAUAUGAGGAGGAGCAGGAAGCCAAGGGGGAGCUGCAGCGAGCCCUGUCCAAGGCCAACAGCGAAGUGGCUCAGUGGAGAACCAAAUACGAGACGGACGCGAUUCAGCGCACGGAGGAGCUGGAGGAAGCCAAGAAGAAGCUGGCCCAGCGCCUGCAGGAUGCAGAGGAACAUGUGGAAGCUAUCACUGCCAAAUGUGCCUCCCUGGAAAAGACCAAGCAGAGGCUGCAGAAUGAAGUGGAGGACCUGAUGAUUGAUGUGGAGAGAUCCAAUGCUGCCUGUGCUGCUCUGGAUAAGAAGCAGAAGAACUUUGACAAGAUCCUGGCAGAAUGGAAGCAGAAGUAUGAGGAAACUCAGGCCGAGCUGGAAGCCUCCCAGAAGGAGUCUCGCUCCCUCAGCACGGAGCUGUUCAAGAUGAAGAAUGCCUAUGAGGAGUCCUUGGACCACCUGGAAACAAUGAAGCGCGAGAACAAGAACUUGCAGCAGGAGAUUUCUGACCUCACGGAGCAGAUUGCUGAGAGCGGAAAGGCAAUUCAUGAGCUGGAGAAAGUCAAGAAGCAAAUUGAGCAGGAGAAAUCUGAACUGCAAGCCUCCCUCGAGGAAGCUGAGGCCUCCCUGGAGCAUGAAGAGGGAAAGAUCCUGCGCCUGCAGCUUGAGCUCAACCAGGUCAAGUCUGAGAUUGACAGGAAGAUAGCAGAGAAAGAUGAGGAGAUUGAUGGGCUUAAGAGAAACGACCUCCGAGUUGUGGAGUCCAUGCAAAGCACCCUGGAUGCUGAGAUCAGGAGCAGGAACGAAGCCCUGAGACUCAAGAAGAAGAUGGAGGGAGACCUGAAUGAAAUGGAGAUUCAGCUCAGCCAUGCCAACCGUGUGGCUGCAGAGGCACAAAAGAAACUGAGAAACACACAACCUGAGAAACACACAGGGAGUGCUGAAGGACACUCAGCUGCACUUGGACGAUGCUCUGAGGACUCAGGAAGACCUGAAGGAGCAGGUGGCCAUGGUGGAGCGCAGAGCAAACCUGCUGCAGGCUGAGGUUGAGGAGCUAAGGGCAGCCCUGGAGCAGACAGAGAGGUCGAGGAAAGUGGCUGAGCAGGAGCUUCUGGAUGCCAGUGAGAGAGUUCAGCUCAG